AGACCCGAAACCCGGUGAUCUAGCCAUGGGCAGGUUGAAGGUUGGGUAACACUAACUGGAGGACCGAACCGACUAAUGUUGAAAAAUUAGCGGAUGACCUGUGGCUGGGGGUGAAAGGCCAAUCAAACCGGGAGAUAGCUGGUUCUCCCCGAAAGCUAUUUAGGUAGCGCCUCGUGAAUUCAUCUCCGGGGGUAGAGCACUGUUUCGGCUAGGGGGCCAUCCCGGCUUACCAACCCGAUGCAAACUGCGAAUACCGGAGAAUGUUAUCACGGGAGACACACGGCGGGUGCUAACGUCCGUCGUGAAGAGGGAAACAACCCAGACCGCCAGCUAAGGUCCCAAAGUCAUGGUUAAGUGGGAAACGAUGUGGGAAGGCCCAGACAGCCAGGAUGUUGGCUUAGAAGCAGCCAUCAUUUAAAGAAAGCGUAAUAGCUCACUGGUCGAGUCGGCCUGCGCGGAAGAUGUAACGGGGCUAAACCAUGCACCGAAGCUGCGGCAGCGAACGUAUCACCCAAGACAACUUUACGGAGUUGACGAUUGACGGAGCGAAGCGACGUCAAAGCGUUCAUUAAAGUCGAGUUGGCUUAGGGAUACGUUCGUUGGGUAGGGGAGCGUUCUGUAAGCCUGUGAAGGUGUGUCGUGAGGCAUGCUGGAGGUAUCAGAAGUGCGAAUGCUGACAUAAGUAACGAUAAAGCGGGUGAAAAGCCCGCUCGCCGGAAGACCAAGGGUUCCUGUCCAACGUUAAUCGGGGCAGGGUGAGUCGACCCCUAAGGCGAGGC
RNAcentral lists this ribosomal RNA (779 nucleotides) under Salmonella enterica. Its description in RNAcentral is "partial 23S ribosomal RNA". It matches the Rfam family "Bacterial large subunit ribosomal RNA", at positions 711 to 1402 of the family's 2925-position model. Lineage: Bacteria; Pseudomonadati; Pseudomonadota; Gammaproteobacteria; Enterobacterales; Enterobacteriaceae. The record is from RNAcentral. RNAcentral also lists the same sequence under 1 other name.